ACGAACGCUGGCGGCGUGCCUAACACAUGCAAGUCGAGCGAAUGAAGUUCCUUCGGGAAUGGAUUUAGCGGCGGACGGGUGAGUAACACGUGGGCAACCUGCCUCAUAGAGGGGAAUAGCCUCCCGAAAGGGAGAUUAAUACCGCAUAAGAUUGUAGUACCGCAUGAUACAGCAAUUAAAGGAGCAAUCCGCUAUGAGAUGGGCCCGCGGCGCAUUAGCUAGUUGGUGAGGUAAUGGCUCACCAAGGCGACGAUGCGUAGCCGACCUGAGAGGGUGAUAGGCCACAUUGGGACUGAGACACGGCCCAGACUCCUACGGGAGGCAGCAGUGGGGAAUAUUGCACAAUGGGGGAAACCCUGAUGCAGCAACGCCGCGUGAGUGAUGACGGCCUUCGGGUUGUAAAGCUCUGUCUUCAGGGACGAUAAUGACGGUACCUGAGGAGGAAGCCACGGCUAACUACGUG
This 463-nucleotide ribosomal RNA is filed under the name uncultured bacterium. RNAcentral describes it as "partial 16S ribosomal RNA". It matches the Rfam family "Bacterial small subunit ribosomal RNA", at positions 29 to 507 of the family's 1533-position model. The record is from RNAcentral.